UUACCGGCUUGACAUGAGUGAAACCUUCGGGACAGGUGCUGCAUGGCUGUCGUCAGCUCGUGCCGUGAGGUGUUGGGUUAAGUCCCGCAACGAGCGCAACCCUGUCAUAGUUGCCAUCAUUUGGGACUCUAUGAGACUGCUGGUGAUAACUGGAGGAAGGUGGGGAUGACGUCAAGUCCUCAUGGCNCUUACGCCGGGCUACACACGUGCUACAAUGGGGUACAUAGGGCACCGCGAGGGGAGCAAUCCCAAAACCGCCUCAGUUCAGAUUGGAGUCUGCAACUCGACUCCAUGAAGGCGGAAUCGCUAGUAAUCGCUAUCAGCAGGAGCGGUGAAUACGAUCCCGGGCCUUGUACACACCGCCCGUCAAGCCACGGAAGCUGGAGACCGAA
RNAcentral lists this ribosomal RNA (392 nucleotides) under uncultured bacterium. Its description in RNAcentral is "bacterial SSU rRNA". It matches the Rfam family "Bacterial small subunit ribosomal RNA", at positions 971 to 1425 of the family's 1533-position model. The record is from RNAcentral.